UACGUAGGGUGCGAGCGUUGUCCGGAAUUAUUGGGCGUAAAGGGCUCGUAGGCGGUCCGUCGCGUCGGGAGUGAAAACUCAGGGCUCAACCCUGAGCGUGCUUCCGAUACGGGCGGACUAGAGGUAUGCAGGGGAGAACGGAAUUCCUGGUGUAGCGGUGGAAUGCGCAGAUAUCAGGAGGAACACCGGUGGCGAAGGCGGUUCUCUGGGCAUUACCUGACGCUGAGGAGCGAAAGCAUGGGGAGCGAACAGG
Molecule: ribosomal RNA, 253 nt
Filed under: uncultured bacterium
Lineage: Bacteria
Description: partial 16S ribosomal RNA
Rfam family: Bacterial small subunit ribosomal RNA
Source: RNAcentral